This 413-nucleotide ribosomal RNA is filed under the name uncultured bacterium. Its description in RNAcentral is "bacterial SSU rRNA". It matches the Rfam family "Bacterial small subunit ribosomal RNA", at positions 29 to 490 of the family's 1533-position model. The record is from RNAcentral.
AACGAACGCUGGCGGCAUGCCUAACACAUGCAAGUCGAACGAGACCUUCGGGUCUAGUGGCGCACGGGUGCGUAACGCGUGGGAACCUGCCUUUAGGUUCGGAAUAACUCAGAGAAAUUUGAGCUAAUACCGGAUAAUGUCUUCGGACCAAAGAUUUAUCGCCUUUAGAUGGGCCCGCGUUGGAUUAGCUAGUUGGUGGGGUAAAGGCCUACCAAGGCGACGAUCCAUAGCUGGUCUGAGAGGAUGAUCAGCCACACUGGGACUGAGACACGGCCCAGACUCCUACGGGAGGCAGCAGUGGGGAAUAUUGGACAAUGGGCGAAAGCCUGAUCCAGCAAUGCCGCGUGAGUGAUGAAGGCCUUCGGUGUAAGACUCUUUACUCGGGACGAUAAUGACGGUACCGAGAGAAUAAG